RNAcentral lists this ribosomal RNA (2929 nucleotides) under Bacillus thuringiensis LM1212. RNAcentral's name for it is "bacterial LSU rRNA". It matches the Rfam family "Bacterial large subunit ribosomal RNA". The record is from RNAcentral. Lineage: Bacteria; Bacillati; Bacillota; Bacilli; Caryophanales; Bacillaceae. RNAcentral also lists the same sequence under 1 other name.
UUUGGUUAAGUUAGAAAGGGCGCACGGUGGAUGCCUUGACACUAGGAGUCGAUGAAGGACGGGACUAACGCCGAUAUGCUUCGGGGAGCUGUAAGUAAGCUUUGAUCCGAAGAUUUCCGAAUGGGGAAACCCACCAUACGUAAUGGUAUGGUAUCCUUACCUGAAUACAUAGGGUAAGGAAGACAGACCCAGGGAACUGAAACAUCUAAGUACCUGGAGGAAGAGAAAGCAAAUGCGAUUUCCUGAGUAGCGGCGAGCGAAACGGAACAUAGCCCAAACCAAGAGGCUUGCCUCUUGGGGUUGUAGGACAUUCUAUACGGAGUUACAAAGGAACGAGGUAGACGAAGCGACCUGGAAAGGUCCGUCGUAGAGGGUAACAACCCCGUAGUCGAAACUUCGUUCUCUCUUGAAUGUAUCCUGAGUACGGCGGAACACGUGAAAUUCCGUCGGAAUCUGGGAGGACCAUCUCCCAAGGCUAAAUACUCCCUAGUGAUCGAUAGUGAACCAGUACCGUGAGGGAAAGGUGAAAAGCACCCCGGAAGGGGAGUGAAAGAGAUCCUGAAACCGUGUGCCUACAAAUAGUCAGAGCCCGUUAACGGGUGAUGGCGUGCCUUUUGUAGAAUGAACCGGCGAGUUACGAUCCCGUGCGAGGUUAAGCUGAAGAGGCGGAGCCGCAGCGAAAGCGAGUCUGAAUAGGGCGUUUAGUACGUGGUCGUAGACCCGAAACCAGGUGAUCUACCCAUGUCCAGGGUGAAGUUCAGGUAACACUGAAUGGAGGCCCGAACCCACGCACGUUGAAAAGUGCGGGGAUGAGGUGUGGGUAGCGGAGAAAUUCCAAUCGAACCUGGAGAUAGCUGGUUCUCCCCGAAAUAGCUUUAGGGCUAGCCUUAAGUGUAAGAGUCUUGGAGGUAGAGCACUGAUUGGACUAGGGGUCCUCAUCGGAUUACCGAAUUCAGUCAAACUCCGAAUGCCAAUGACUUAUCCUUAGGAGUCAGACUGCGAGUGAUAAGAUCCGUAGUCAAAAGGGAAACAGCCCAGACCGCCAGCUAAGGUCCCAAAGUGUGUAUUAAGUGGAAAAGGAUGUGGAGUUGCUUAGACAACUAGGAUGUUGGCUUAGAAGCAGCCACCAUUUAAAGAGUGCGUAAUAGCUCACUAGUCGAGUGACUCUGCGCCGAAAAUGUACCGGGGCUAAAUACACCACCGAAGCUGCGGAUUGAUACCAAUGGUAUCAGUGGUAGGGGAGCGUUCUAAGGACAGUGAAGUCAGACCGUAAGGACUGGUGGAGUGCUUAGAAGUGAGAAUGCCGGUAUGAGUAGCGAAAGACGGGUGAGAAUCCCGUCCACCGAAUGCCUAAGGUUUCCUGAGGAAGGCUCGUCCGCUCAGGGUUAGUCAGGACCUAAGCCGAGGCCGACAGGCGUAGGCGAUGGACAACAGGUUGAUAUUCCUGUACCACCUCUUUAUCGUUUGAGCAAUGGAGGGACGCAGAAGGAUAGAAGAAGCGUGCGAUUGGUUGUGCACGUCCAAGCAGUUAGGCUGAUAAGUAGGCAAAUCCGCUUAUCGUGAAGGCUGAGCUGUGAUGGGGAAGCUCCUUAUGGAGCGAAGUCUUUGAUUCCCCGCUGCCAAGAAAAGCUUCUAGCGAGAUAAAAGGUGCCUGUACCGCAAACCGACACAGGUAGGCGAGGAGAGAAUCCUAAGGUGUGCGAGAGAACUCUGGUUAAGGAACUCGGCAAAAUGACCCCGUAACUUCGGGAGAAGGGGUGCUUUCUUAACGGAAAGCCGCAGUGAAUAGGCCCAAGCGACUGUUUAGCAAAAACACAGCUCUCUGCGAAGCCGUAAGGCGAAGUAUAGGGGGUGACACCUGCCCGGUGCUGGAAGGUUAAGGAGAGGGGUUAGCGUAAGCGAAGCUCUGAACUGAAGCCCCAGUAAACGGCGGCCGUAACUAUAACGGUCCUAAGGUAGCGAAAUUCCUUGUCGGGUAAGUUCCGACCCGCACGAAAGGUGUAACGAUUUGGGCACUGUCUCAACCAGAGACUCGGUGAAAUUAUAGUACCUGUGAAGAUGCAGGUUACCCGCGACAGGACGGAAAGACCCCGUGGAGCUUUACUGUAGCCUGAUAUUGAAUUUUGGUACAGUUUGUACAGGAUAGGCGGGAGCCUUUGAAACCGGAGCGCUAGCUUCGGUGGAGGCGCUGGUGGGAUACCGCCCUGACUGUAUUGAAAUUCUAACCUACGGGUCUUAUCGACCCGGGAGACAGUGUCAGGUGGGCAGUUUGACUGGGGCGGUCGCCUCCUAAAGUGUAACGGAGGCGCCCAAAGGUUCCCUCAGAAUGGUUGGAAAUCAUUCGUAGAGUGCAAAGGCAUAAGGGAGCUUGACUGCGAGACCUACAAGUCGAGCAGGGACGAAAGUCGGGCUUAGUGAUCCGGUGGUUCCGCAUGGAAGGGCCAUCGCUCAACGGAUAAAAGCUACCCCGGGGAUAACAGGCUUAUCUCCCCCAAGAGUCCACAUCGACGGGGAGGUUUGGCACCUCGAUGUCGGCUCAUCGCAUCCUGGGGCUGUAGUCGGUCCCAAGGGUUGGGCUGUUCGCCCAUUAAAGCGGUACGCGAGCUGGGUUCAGAACGUCGUGAGACAGUUCGGUCCCUAUCCGUCGUGGGCGUAGGAAAUUUGAGAGGAGCUGUCCUUAGUACGAGAGGACCGGGAUGGACGCACCGCUGGUGUACCAGUUGUUCUGCCAAGGGCAUAGCUGGGUAGCUAUGUGCGGAAGGGAUAAGUGCUGAAAGCAUCUAAGCAUGAAGCCCCCCUCAAGAUGAGAUUUCCCAUAGCGUAAGCUAGUAAGAUCCCUGAAAGAUGAUCAGGUUGAUAGGUUCGAGGUGGAAGCAUGGUGACAUGUGGAGCUGACGAAUACUAAUAGAUCGAGGACUUAACCAUAUAA